Molecule: long non-coding RNA, 4012 nt
Organism: Acanthochromis polyacanthus (spiny chromis)
Lineage: Eukaryota; Metazoa; Chordata; Actinopteri; Pomacentridae
Exons: 4
Source: RefSeq, a predicted model, not a curated record
GUCCGGCCGUUGUUGGCUGAAGUCGUUUGUAUUUAUUUAUUUAUUUAUGUUAUUUACGAUGUUCAGAUGUGAUUUUUAGUGAUCUAUGAUGUGAACAGUUUCUAUUCUGUCCUGUAAAUAAAAUAAAUCAGUUUAAUUUUUGCUGAACCCUGAGUGAAGACAGCGGCUCUGAGAAUGGGGUCGGAGUGGAACGUUUAGGUCAUCAAUCCACUCUUGUUUCUCUUCAGAUCGUAUAAAUCUUUCGCCUUUUACUAAAGAUUUCCGUGGAGAGGAACAACAAGAGUAUAACUCAAUUUUUUGUUGCUCUGCGCAAGCGGAGCGUUCUGAUGAUGUACAAAAGAAAUGCAUGUAAUAUCUUGGGGUGAAGAUGACGACCCCAGUCAUUCACGUUGUCAACCCUGGGGCACCUGUAGACCAACAGCAGGCAGUACUGAUGGCAACCAACGAGGCAAGGUGUUACAGAGACGGGCAGAGGGUCUUCCCUAUACCUCCACAGGAGCUGCUGUACCAGGCAUCUGCCCUGACUAAUGCUGAGAGGCUCCUGUGAGCAGAGAGCGCCUCUAUGCCCUCACGCCAGCUGUGCCUGGGCUAGUGGUGCCGUUUGGACAGUAUAUGAAUGCUCCAUUCCACUGGCUUGUGGCAAAUGAUGUGGGCUACAUGAAAUAGUAAGCAUGUAUUAUUUAUUACCAUUGUAGGCUACAAUAUAAUACUGUUAUGCUUCAAAUAGAUUACCUGUAAAACUCUUCCUUUUUCAGUGUUCAUGACUCAACUUCUUUAUUUAUCACAGUUGCAGUGACAAUAAUGAUGACUGUGCUAAGAAUAGAAUAGAAUAGAUCUUUAUUGUCACUGUUACAGAAAACAAUGAACAUCAUUUUAGCACUCUCCGAAUAGCAGCAUUAAAAAUAAACUAGAUAACACACCCUAAAAAAUAUUUAGAACAUAAGAGCAAAUAUACAGUAUGGAAAUAGUUUGUGGUUAGAGACCUGCUCUACACAUGUCUAUUGCACAUGAUAUGAAUAACAUGAAUAAGCUAUUAAUUAUUAGUCUUAAUGUGACUACAGCAUACUUGACAAGCACAGAGCAGAGGUCAGAGAUCUACACAGAAAGGGAGAAAUUGGAAACAAGUGGAUCAAAGACUACUUGGCUGAGUAUGCCGAAAGUUUCUCCCAGGUCUCCACGAUCCUCGAGGCCAACAUUGACCCGUGCAUCUGUGGCCAGAAAGGGUUUGAGACUCGAACCUUUCAGGAGAUGUGGGAACUCUACAGCCAGUACACCACCCAGAAGAACAGGCCAGAGCAGUUCAGCUGUGAACAGAGAGAGAGAGGAUGGUGAAGGCAUCCAAUUCUGUGAGGAGGUGGUUGAACACGCCCGUGACCCAUAUCACAAGCGUGCAGAUGAAAAGAUUCCAGAAAUAUAUUAAUGACAAGGAACAACAACAUCUGGCAAGGACCUCCAAAUCUCAUCUUCCACCAUGGUCAGAUGAUGAUGCGCAAUUAAUAGCUGCAUGCCAGUCUGUGGAAGGUAAGCAGGAGACAGAGUAAAUGAUCAUCACACAUUCAUUUUUAGAAAGGAAACUACUAACAAUAUAAAACUGCCUUAUUUGGAAACUUCUCAGACUCAAUCCGGUCAAAGCAGCCCAAUUCUGCCGUCCAGCCUGCCGUCCAGCCUGCCGUCCAGCCUGCUUUCGAGACCACUGUGCAGCACAAGCAGCACAAACAACACAAGCAGACAGCCACAGUGUUACCACCGACAAGUCAGCCCACUGUGUUCUCGUCCACAGGCCAGCCCACAGUGUCGUCUACAAGCCAGGGUCAUGAUUAUCCCCUGGAAUCACCUGAUUUGCCACUAAGUGAUAUUCAUAUUAUAUGCAAUCAAUCUAACGGUGUUUUAAAAGGUGGAGCUAGAGGGCUGGGUGCGUCGGUGGGAAGAUCCCAACUGCAUUCCAUCAGUAGACAUACACUGGCUCAAAGAGGACACGGAGAGAGGGCUGUUCACCGCUGUACAAAUGUACAAGGACAGCAAAGGCCUACUGAAGAGGCAGGAGGAUUGUGCGCUGUAUGGAACCUCAAUGCAUGACAAAAAAAAAUGAAGAGCUUCUUGCAAAAAAUGUCUCUGAAACAUUUUCUUUGAAGAUGCCACACCAUACCUGGCACCUGAAGAGUGGAAUAUUCCAUCAUGAACACACUGCUGAAGAGCUGGGAGCUGCAUGUGUCUGUCUGUGUUGUAAAAAAAAAAAAAAAAAAAAAAAAAAAAAAAAAGACACUGUUAAUAUAAAUACGAUACAUCAAAUUUUAAAUCAAAAAUAUCAGAUGAUUUAGCACAUACAGGAAUAGAGACAGUAGCUUUAUUGAGAAAGUAUUGAAUUAGAUAUAAUCAGCCUCUCAAAAUUCAGAAGGGCCUUCAAAACCUUUGGCAAAUCAAAUGACACUCAAGGUCAGACAAGGCAUUGUCGCAAAUGUUCCAUCUAGAUGGAAAGAUCUGUAAUGCAUUGAUUCUUGAUUGCAGAUGUCUUAUUUUGGUGACACAUCCUGUUUUAUUUAUUAUAACUUGCAAACCUUUUAUUUUAGUGAACCACACCUUUGCAUCAUUGAUACUUUCCCACUAUAGACUCUCAUCCAAUCCCAUCAUCCGCAAUUUGCACUACUAUCCAGCAAGCUGUGGUGACCUCUGAAGAGAUAUCUGAACAGAUAAGAAGAACAUCUUUUGUAUUUUCUUUGUACAUGAUCAGAAAGCCCCGCUUGCGCAGAGCAACAAAAAAUUGAGUUAUACUCUUACUGUUCCUCUCCACGGACUAAAAAUAUUUUAAAAACAAAUAGAAAAAGAAAUCCCACUUGACCAAGUUGAAUGUUAGAUGCAAAACUGUCAGGACCAACUGAUAGCAGCAUGAAAAAUAAAUAACAAAGAAACACAAUACAGACAAUAUGUGCAACAUGGAACAUGCAGAAAGUAGUAUUUAGGUUGAAAAAUGGCCGAAUAGAAAGUAGUAUUUAGGAGGACUAGUACUUUUAAAACCUUAACUUCUUGGUCAGAAAGUAGUAUUCAAAUGGAACAAACCUUUCGUGUUUCAACACAAAACAGUAUUUUUAAGUGUAAUAAAACUUUAAAACUACUUUAUUCAGUCAGAAGGUACUUCAUGGGUGACACUGAUCUUAUACUACAAUACUCCUACUACUACUAAAAUACUACUUAUAAGAUACUAUAAGUAGUAUUUUUAGAGGAAUUCACCUUUAAAUUCAUAUUUCUUGUAUUUUCUCAAUCAUUUAUCUCAUCAAGAAAAUCAGCCAGGAUGCAUUUAAACAUAAAACACUAAAAACAUUAUUUUUAAAGUAUUUUUUAAAACUUGAAUUAUUUAUUUAGUUGCUUUUAUUCUUGCAUUUUGUCCACCUAUAUGUUAUGUUGUAAUGUCACACAGCAUUUUUAAGUACAAUUAAUUAACUUAAAGCUCGUGUCCGGAGUUUCCGUUUGUUUUCAAUUUAUGUAUCAUUGUUUAACAAAGCUUAAAUGUGUUAGUCUAGUUCGAUACUAUAAUAUAAUGUUAGUAUGACGUGAUAUGAAAAUGUAUUCUUGAGGUCCGCCUUCCUCUCAUAGACCCCCAUGUUAUUCCAAAAAGCGCCGGUCGCUGCCGACCAAUCAAGUUCAAGCUUCCGCUUUGUCAUGCUGUCAAUCAACGGUUACGCGCACAGCAAGCAAGCCCAUGCAGAGGUGGGCGAGCUACGCACUACGCAACCGCGCGCACAUUUGUUUUGCUUGUGGAGGAGAGAGCAUCAGGGAUCAGCAACUUCCAGAAAAGUUACCAAUCCCACGGCUUGUCAGGCCAAGAGACUGCAGGACGUUUUUUGGCUCGGGGUGCUCGCGUCGCUCCCCGACCACGGCCUCCAUAGCCCGCCUCACGGCUUCGUUUAGAUGCCCGACCUCUGGAGGAAGAUGUUGGGGCGUCUGGGACAUACUCUUCAUCAGAGGAGUCAUGCAAUUCUGAACUCUAGAUAGAAAUAAAUAAACAAUGUAACACAUG